RNAcentral lists this ribosomal RNA (497 nucleotides) under uncultured bacterium. RNAcentral describes it as "partial 16S ribosomal RNA". It matches the Rfam family "Bacterial small subunit ribosomal RNA", at positions 28 to 507 of the family's 1533-position model. The record is from RNAcentral.
GAUGAACGCUGGCGGCGUGCCUAAUACAUGCAAGUCGAGCGAACAGACGAGGAGCUUGCUCCUCUGACGUUAGCGGCGGACGGGUGAGUAACACGUGGAUAACCUACCUAUAAGACUGGGAUAACUUCGGGAAACCGGAGCUAAUACCGGAUAAUAUAUUGAACCGCAUGGUUCAAUAGUGAAAGACGGUUUUGCUGUCACUUAUAGAUGGAUCCGCGCCGCAUUAGCUAGUUGGUAAGGUAACGGCUUACCAAGGCGACGAUGCGUAGCCGACCUGAGAGGGUGAUCGGCCACACUGGAACUGAGACACGGUCCAGACUCCUACGGGAGGCAGCAGUAGGGAAUCGUCCGCAAUGGGCGGAAGCCUGACGGAGCAACGCCGCGUGAGUGAUGAAGGGCUUCGGAUCGUAAAACUCUGUUAUUAGGGAAGAACAAAUGUGUAAGUAACUAUGCACGUCUUGACGGUACCUAAUCAGAAAGCCACGGCUAACUACGUG